RNAcentral lists this unclassified non-coding RNA (215 nucleotides) under Hevea brasiliensis (rubber tree). Lineage: Eukaryota; Viridiplantae; Streptophyta; Magnoliopsida; Malpighiales; Euphorbiaceae. The record is from RNAcentral.
UUCUGAAUUGGAAAUUGCUUCAAGACUUCGGUUGGAACAAUUAACUGAUGGUUUCAAUCGGUUUUUACAAGCUGCUUGCUGAAGACCUUUGUUCCGUUUGGAAUGUCUCCUAUUAUCUCCUUCUGUCUCAUCUGUGGGUAAUGGAUAUGUCAAAGGUAGCACUCUGCCUUCUAUUUAUAAGAUUAGUAAUAGUUGCCAAUCAAGGAAUCGGUUAG